Molecule: ribosomal RNA, 252 nt
Filed under: uncultured bacterium
Lineage: Bacteria
Description: partial 16S ribosomal RNA
Rfam family: Bacterial small subunit ribosomal RNA
Source: RNAcentral
GAUCCUGCCUCAGGAUGAACGCUAGCGGCAGGCCUAACACAUGCAAGUCGAGGGGCAUCACGAGGUAGCAAUACUUUGGUGGCGACCGGCGCACGGGUACGUAACGCGUAUGUAACCUACCUAUAACAGGGGCAUAACACUGAGAAAUUGGUACUAAUUCCCCAUAAUAUUCGGAGAGGCAUCUCUCCGGGUUGAAAACUCCGGUGGUUAUAGAUGGACAUGCGUUGUAUUAGCUAGUUGGUGAGGUAACGG